GGGAAAACAAUGUAAAAUGCUAAUUUAUUUUAUUUUAUACUAGCUCAGCAUUUGCAAAUUAUUUUUCUAAAUAUUUUUUCUUUCUUUCAAGCUUCACACUUUCUCCCUUUCCCCAAAUUAACCCCUUAAAGCAGAAUUCAGUAUCCACCCGCAUCUGGGAAAUGUAGAUCAGUGUUUGUGCACUUGGGCAGCUCUUUUCCAAAGCUACAACCCUAUCUGGUUUUUAUUUACAAUACCAACAAAGUAUAUCAGUAUUUAGGUUUCUGUGUUUAGGAUUUUGGGUUCAUAGAAGCACUGGCUUGCCUUUAACAAUUCAAUAGCUUUUAUUCAAGUGCUACCACCUGGAUAGAAAUAAUACAGAUAUCUCAGGAAAUCCAUCCAAAUUUCACAAUAUCAGUGGAAGAAUAUUAAAUAGUUGUUUUUUUUUUGUUUGUUUUUUUUUUAAUUCAUAAACUCAUAGACAUAAUAGUGGAACAGGCACAUUGGGAGCUUUGCGAGAAAACUGUUAAUUUGUGCAAAUUUAAUCUGAAUCCAAGGUCAUAGCUAUUGGGACGGAAGAUGAAUUCUGUUUUAUUGUGUUUGUUGCUUUGUGGUUUUCAUAUUAGAAACUGUUACAGAUGUAUUACCAGAAAUGACCGUUUAUGAGAGGACAUUGACUAGCAAGCACAUUCACGCUUAAGAGUACACUAUUUGUGAUACUGUUCUAAGCUUUCUGUCAAAUCUGAGUCUCUGCCUGGCUUCCAUCAUGCCAUGACUCUAAAUGAAGGACUCAUUUGUUCAUUCUAUGUAAUGUCAAACAAAAACACGGUGCCACGACAGAAGAAAGACCGGGUGCAAGUCUGACUUAAUUAAUCACAGUACUAUGCUCAACACCCAGACACUUCCAUAACCUUUCAGUGUGGAGCUUUUCUGAGCUGCAGGAUAUGACUCAAAUUCUACCAGUUAAGUCAGCUAGGAAGCUGUGGUUUUCAUGCACCUCGACUCGUUGCCAAACAGGAGCGAAGACAUGCUCAUCUUUUUGAGAUGUGUCUAAAGCAUUUUAUCCGACCCAGUCUUGUUUUCUCUAUGAAUAUGCACUGGUAAUAAAAGCACAUGAUUUACUGA
Long non-coding RNA from Astatotilapia calliptera (eastern happy), 1104 nucleotides. The record is from Ensembl. NCBI's taxonomy places the organism in Eukaryota, Metazoa, Chordata, Actinopteri, Cichliformes, Cichlidae.